GCGGUCGCCUCCCAAAAGGUAACGGAGGCGCUCAAAGGUUCUCUCAGUACGGUCGGAAAUCGUACGUAGAGUGUAAAGGCAAAAGCGAGCUUGAUUGCAAGACAUACAGGUCGAGCAAGGAUGAAAAGCGGACUUAGUGAUCCGGUGGUUCUGCGAGGAAGGGCCAUCGCCCAACGGAUAAAAGCUACCCUGGGGAUAACAGGCUUAUCUCCCGCAAGUCACAUCGACGGGGAGGUUUGGCACCUCGAUGUC
RNAcentral lists this ribosomal RNA (252 nucleotides) under Clostridioides difficile. RNAcentral describes it as "partial 23S ribosomal RNA". It matches the Rfam family "Bacterial large subunit ribosomal RNA", at positions 2279 to 2533 of the family's 2925-position model. The record is from RNAcentral. Lineage: Bacteria; Bacillati; Bacillota; Clostridia; Peptostreptococcales; Peptostreptococcaceae.